RNAcentral lists this ribosomal RNA (2133 nucleotides) under Caviibacter abscessus. Its description in RNAcentral is "bacterial LSU rRNA". It matches the Rfam family "Bacterial large subunit ribosomal RNA", at positions 14 to 2127 of the family's 2925-position model. The record is from RNAcentral. Lineage: Bacteria; Fusobacteriati; Fusobacteriota; Fusobacteriia; Fusobacteriales; Leptotrichiaceae.
AGGGCGUACGGAGGAUGCCUAGGUAGUAAAAGCCGAAGAAGGACGUGAUAAGCUGCGAAAAGCUAGGGGGAGUUGCACAUGAACAAAGAUCCCUAGAUAUCCGAAUGGGAGAACCUGUAUAUUAGGAGAAUAUACACGAAAGAGGUAAGCCCGUGAACUGAAACAUCUAAGUAACGGGAGGAAAAGAAAGUAAAAACGAUUUUCUAAGUAGCGGCGAGCGAACGGGAAGGAGCCUAAACCAUAGUGGUGAAAAAGUUGGCGACGAUGCCAUUAUGGGGUAGAGGGGCUACAAGCACAGAUAGCCAUGAAGUGAGUUAUGUAUAUACUGUAAGAGGAAUAUAGUUGGAAAGCUAAACCAAAGAAGGUGAUAGUCCUGUAGGAUGUAGAGUAUAUAUGUAUAGAGUAGAACCCCGAGUAGCAUCAAGCACGAGGAAUUUGGUGUGAAUCAGUGAGGACCAUAUCUCAUAAGGCUAAAUACUUUUACUAACCGAUAGUGAAGAGUACCGUGAGGGAAAGGUGAAAAGAACCCUGAGUAAGGGAGUGAAAUAGAAUUUGAAACCGUACGCUUACAAGCGGUAGGAGCAGGGUAACCUGUGACUGCGUGGAUUUUGGUUAAUCAUCCUGCGAGUUAUGAUAUAUGGCAAGGUUAAGGAAAGCGGAGCCGAAGGGAAACCAAGUCUUAAAAGGGCGAAAGUCGUAUGUCAUAGACGCGAAACCUAGUGAUCUAGGCCUGUCCAAGUUGAAGCUAAGGUAAGACUUAGUGGAGGACUGAACUCACCGCCGUUGAAAUGAUGGGAGAUGAGAUAGGUUUAGGGGUGAAAAGCCAAUCGAACUAGGAGAUAGCUCGUUCUCUCCGAAAUGCAUUUAGGUGCAGCCUUAAUAGAAGAUAUGUGGGGGUAGAGCACUGUAUGACCUAGGGGGCGUAUAGCUUACUGAAGUCAAGCAAACUACGAAUACCAUAUAUUAAUAAUUGGGAGUGAGUCUAUGGAUGACAAGGUCCAUGGACGAGAGGGAAAAAGCCCAGAACAACAGCUAAGGUCCCGAAUUAUGUCUAAGUGGGAAAGGAGGUGGAUAUUCCCAGACAACCAGGAGGUUGGCUUAGAAGCAGCCAAGCCUUAAAAGAGUGCGUAAUAGCUCACUGGUCGAGAGUAUCUGCGCCGAAGAUUUAACGGGGCUAAGACAUAAACCGAAGCUUUGUAACAUAAUGUAAGUUAUGUUGGUAGGAGAGCGUUCUGUAAGCCGUAGAAGGAGGAUUGAAAGAGAAUCUGGAGGUAUCAGAAGUGAGAAUGCAGGAAUGAGUAGCGAGAAAGAGGGUGAGAAUCCCUCUGACCGGAAGUCCAAGGAUUCCAGGGGAAGGUUUGUCCGCCCUGGGGGAGUCGGGACCUAAGGAUAAACAGAAAUGUGAAGCCGAAUGGAAAAUAGGUAAAUAUUCCUAUACCACUUAAUUAACGAUUGAAGGGAUGGAGUGACGCAGGAAGGUAUGUAAGAUGACUGACGGAAUAGUCAUUUUAAGGAAGAAGUAUGGGUUUACAGGAAAAGCCGUAGACUUAAAUAUGAGAACUGAAGAGUAAGCAUAUGUAAAGUAUGUAAGUUACAAAUCCUACACUGCCGAGAAAAACUUCUACUGAGGAGAUUAAGUGCCCGUACCGUAAACCGACACAGGUGGACAGGGUGAGAAACCUAAGGUCGACAGGCUAACUCUAGCUAAGGAACUCUGCAAAAUAGCCCCGUAACUUAGGGAGAAGGGGUACCUAUGAAAGUGAGUAAAGAGACAUUACGAGCAAGAGUAGGUCGCAGUGAAGAGUCCCAAGCAACUGUUUACCAAAAACACAGGUCUAUGCUAAGCCGGAAGGCGACGUAUAUGGGCUGACACCUGCCCAGUGCUGGAAGGUUAAGAGGAGGAUUGAGAGAUUCGAAUUGAAGCCCCAGUGAACGGCGGCCGUAACUAUAACGGUCCUAAGGUAGCGAAAUUCCUUGUCAGGUAAGUUCUGACCUGCACGAAUGGUGCAAUGAUUUGGGAGCUGUCUUGGCUGGAGGCCUGGUGAAGUUGUAAUAGCGGUGAAGAUACCGCUUACCUGCAGUAGGACGGAAAGACCCCGUGGAGCUUUACUGUAGUUUGGCAUUGGGUUUUGG